RNAcentral lists this ribosomal RNA (393 nucleotides) under uncultured bacterium. RNAcentral's name for it is "bacterial SSU rRNA". It matches the Rfam family "Bacterial small subunit ribosomal RNA", at positions 521 to 916 of the family's 1533-position model. The record is from RNAcentral.
UAAUACGUAGGACCCGAGCGUUGUCCGGAAUUACUGGGUGUAAAGGGCGUGUAGGUGGGUCUCUCAGUCGGUGGUGAAAUCCUGCGGCUUAACCGCAGAACUGCCGCCGAUACUGGAGGUCUUGAGUACGGCAGAGGGAGAUGGAAUUCAUGGUGUAGCGGUGAAAUGUGUAGAUAUCAUGAAGAACACCAGUUGCGAAGGCGGUCUCCUGGUCCGUUACUGACACUGAGGCGCGAAAGCGUGGGGAGCAAACAGGAUUAGAUACCCUGGUAGUCCACGCCUUAAACGAUGGGUACUCGGUGCUGGGCCGCAAGGUUCAGUGCCAAAGCUAACGCAUUAAGUACCCCACCUGGGGAGUACGAUCGCAAGGUUGAAACUUAAAGGAAUUGACGG